CCCCUUCCUAUUCUCCCUGUAAAAGAGAUGAGUGACACUUUUUCAAGGUAGCCAUAGCUUCGGUAGAACUUCGGUGAAUGCCAAAUACAGAGGAGGAAUUCAGUAACAUCAUAUGGAGGAUCAGUGGAUAGGAACAAUGCCAGCAGAGUACAAUGGUGAUGUACUCCAUAUUUUUUUUAGUUUUUUUUAAGUGAAUAAUCUUGUAGAACCAAAACCUCCAAAGAUAUACCCAAAUAAACAAGUGAUAAAUCAAUGUUUUCACCUGCAUUUAUACUCCAGAAAUUCUUUCCCUGGAGGUGGAGAGCAUUCUUUUUCAUAAGUAAUGGUAGUAUACUCAUAGUGGUAAGAUUCCAAGUCUUGAAAUGGCCAAAUGCAGGAUGGAGCAAUAGCAGUAGAAUCCUUAUACCACUAGCCAGGAAGUAGUUAGGCAUAGUAGCAGGGCUGUGAGGAGGAAAGGUAGUGCAGUAGACAGAGUGCCAAGCCCAGAGUCAGAAAGACCUAAGUUCAAAUUUGGCCACAUUAUUUGUGUGACCCUGGGCAAGUCACUUAACCUCAUUUAUGGUUUGCCAUUUCCUUCUCCAGUCCAUUUUACAGAUAAACAAGUGGUCAGAUUCCUUUCCUGGCUUGAAGGAGACUUUUCCCCUGGAUCCUGCAUCAGGCUUGUUGGGAAUUGGGGAAAUAAAUAAAAACCCAGAAGUUUGGAAGAAUGGACAAGGGAGUCUGAAGAAAUUCCCAUUGGAUUGUCUAAGCUCUUUCAAUGAUUAUUAUUGUUAGAUGUGCUAAAGAACUUACUACUUGGAGCUGAGAUUUAUGAGCCAUGUAAAAGGAUAUGACUACUAAAGUCCUACUCUGAUGUUUCAUUGUGAUUUUGAGAGAUCCCGAGUUCUCAAAGUCUCAGAGGUACAAAUUUUGGCAGUUCCUAACUGCAGGCCUUUUAAUAGGUUUUUACAUCUGGUCCAAGGACCAACCUUGCUAAAAGCAAAGGAUCAGUGUCCUUUUUUGAACUGUAGCAUAGUCACUAUUAAAUGAUAUUAAAAGCUGUAAUUUAAUAAGUCUCACGAGAAAAUGCUUGCUUCCCAAAAAGAGAUUGUAAAUUUAAGGGCUUUUUUCCUGAAGAUAUUUGGGUUAAAAUGAAAAUAUGGUAUGUAAAACAUUAAAAUUUUGUGAAGAUUGAAUUUAGCUCUCCCCUGAUUGUAACAAUGAAGGUAUUUAGCUCUUCCUUUAUUGGGAAGAUUGAAUUGUAAUCCACAAUCUAUUUUUAGAUUUUAAUCCUCAAAAAGGUGAUAACUCAGUAUUUUAAGUAGAUCUACCCAUUUUAACUACAAAAAGGUGUUAAGUAACUACAAAAGGUGAACUAACCCAAAAAAGGCAUUAAGUAACCCAAAAAGGUAUAAUCUAACCAAAGAAGGUGUGAAUUAAAGAGUGGGCAGUCCUGGAGAGGAGCGUCUGCUGUGAUUGGUAGAUGUGAAAUUUAGGGGAGUGACACAAGAGAAAAAGAUCUUUAAAAAAAAAGAGGAUCAGAGGCCAGAAGAAGAUAAUUGAUUCCAGGAGAUCAAAGAGCUCUCUGACUCGGAAGAGAGACUGGAAGACAGACACUUGAGGAAUGACUGGAAGACAGACACCCAGACUUCUUUCCUUUUAGACGGUCACUGUUGGUAAGUGAAAGGCUGACUUAGUGACCUGCCUUUCUCGGAGGUGUAAAACUCUGAGAAAGGCUCAUGGUCUUGAAACCCUUUUCCCUGAUUAGGGCCUUAGUAUUUCUACCUGGCUCAGAGGAAGCCGGAGUUUCCUCUCUCUCUCUCUCUCUCUCUCUCUCUCUCUCUCUCUCUCUCUCUCUCUCUCUCUCUCUCUCUCUCUCUCUCUCUCUCUCUCAUUCCUUAAUAUCUUCCCUCUAUUGUAAAUAAAAUACCAUAAAUUCCAUUUACUUUAGUAAUU
This 1935-nucleotide long non-coding RNA is filed under the name Monodelphis domestica (gray short-tailed opossum). RNAcentral's name for it is "lncRNA (ENSMODG00000043208.1)". The record is from RNAcentral. Lineage: Eukaryota; Metazoa; Chordata; Mammalia; Didelphimorphia; Didelphidae.